Non-coding RNA from Vicia faba (fava bean), 270 nucleotides. The record is from the annotation of a GenBank genome assembly. Lineage: Eukaryota; Viridiplantae; Streptophyta; Magnoliopsida; Fabales; Fabaceae.
AUGUUGAAGUAUACCCCACUGUCGUCAGACAGACAGGAGUUUUAUGCAGCUUUCAUUCACUGCCCAUUUCUCGUGAAGCUCUCUCUUCCUACAUCACACUCCUCACCACUACUCUCUCUCUUUUCCUUUCUUUCUCUCUUUUCUCACUCAUCCGUGAACCACACUUUACUACUAUCUCUCCCAUUUCAUCCCUUCCAUUUCCUCAACACUGUAAAGGUGCAAGUCAUGGAAGCAGCGACAUUGUUUCAAAUCUUCACAUUUGUGAAAUAA